This 497-nucleotide ribosomal RNA is filed under the name uncultured bacterium. Its description in RNAcentral is "partial 16S ribosomal RNA". It matches the Rfam family "Bacterial small subunit ribosomal RNA", at positions 28 to 507 of the family's 1533-position model. The record is from RNAcentral.
GACGAACGCUGGCGGCGUGCCUAAUACACGCAAGUUGAGCGCUGAAGGUUGGUACUUGUACCGACUGGAUGAGCAGCGAACGGGUGAGUAACGCGUGGGGAAUCUGCCUUUGAGCGGGGGACAACAUUUGGAAACGAAUGCUAAUACCGCAUAAAAACUUUAAACACAAGUUUUAAGUUUGAAAGAUGCAAUUGCAUCACUCAAAGAUGAUCCCGCGUUGUAUUAGCUAGUUGGUGAGGUAAAGGCUCACCAAGGCGAUGAUACAUAGCCGACCUGAGAGGGUGAUCGGCCACAUUGGGACUGAGACACGGCCCAAACUCCUACGGGAGGCAGCAGUAGGGAAUCUUCGGCAAUGGACGAAAGUCUGACCGAGCAACGCCGCGUGAGGGAAGAAGGUUGUCGGAUCGUAAAACUCUGUUGGUAGAGAAGAACGUUGGUGAGAGUGGAAAGCUCAUCAAGUGACGGUAACUACCCAGAAAGGGACGGCUAACUACGUG